AAAUAAGUAAACAAACGCAUUUAAUAAACCCUCAAUCUUUGAAAUAAAACAGGUUUCCUUCAGGGCUGCUGGAUUCCUGUAAACCACGUGGUUUAGGAGUCUGAUCACAAAAGUGAAAGUAUAAGGUUAUUACAGAAACGCCAGCUCGGUCUCAUUCUGCAGCUCCGUCUUUCUCAGCAGCAGCACAGCAAAGGAAGCCACAACAUGUUGCCCAGGGGUGUGGUUAAGGUUCACACAAUCAAUAGAGGACAAACAUUUGGGGCAGAUGAAGAUCUACUGACACAACUGAGAACUGGCCUUCGUGUGAAGCAAACAAGCCAACAGGACAGCGAUGUCAUCAUUGUCUUCUGUCCAAUCAGCUCUCGUGUUGGGUCAGAUGUGGAAGCAGCCAUGAGGGAGGUUUCAGAGUCAGCAAGGGAUAAAAAGAUCAUUCUGGUCCUGAUGCAUCACACCCGGGAUGUUGACUACUCAGCCGGUGGGAGAAGGUGGUCUGAGACCUUCAGGAAUGUUGUCCUGGAUGUUGAUGUCCUCUUCCACGAGACUGUACCAGGACUACUGAACUGUAGAGAAAACAUGGCUGCUGUCAAACAAAUACAAGAUCUUUUAGAUCAGUAUAGUACUAGAUUAACCAUUAAGUUUAUUGUAUGGAUUUUAUUCUUACUACUGCUACUACUAACAAUAUAUUAUUAUUGUUAUCAUGACGAUGUAGUUCACCGUGACCCUGCACAGGAUAAAACGGGAAAAGAAAAUGAAUUAUUGAAUGGAUGAUGAGUUCAAUUCCAUUCAAUGUUAUUUAUGUAGCGUCUAUUACAACACAAGUUGCCUCUAGCUGCUUUCCAGAGACGCAGAACAUGAUCCUUGAGCAAUUAUUACAUAAACAAUAGCAGGUAAAACCUCCCCUGUAGGAAGGAAGAAACCUGAGUUAUGAGUUAGCUCAUAAUUAGCACUGUUUAUGAUACUUAUUGAUGAAUGUCUGAAUAUGGUUUACACAUAUCAUCUUAAAAUAUAUCUAUAGUCUAAUAUAUAUCAGAUGUCUUCAUAAGUGUUUGUUACAUUUAUGUAAACAUAUUUUUUAUAGAUAUAUUUUUGAGUGUCUUGAAGCUAAUAUUUCAACCUUUUCUUGCAUCAUUACACUUUUCAUGAGGACUUUAUUUCUGCUGUAUAAGUGGAUUUAACACAAAACAGAACAUGGACAAAUGUUAUUCGGCUAAUGGACAGUUUAAGAUCAUGCAUGAUAUAGAAGUUUGUGAAUAUGUUGUCGCUACCAAACUCAUCACUCUGCACAUCAUCUCAGCUGAUUUAAUGUUAUAUGCUAUUUACAUGGAAAUGUAUUUGAUGUAGCUUUUCCUUUAAAUACAGAUUUAUACACACACUAAAAACUGAAGCUUUAUUACUGAUUAGGUGAUAGUUUAAUUCAUAGAAAGAGAAAUGAUAGUGUUUUAUCAAUUGUUGAUGACAAAUAAAGAAAUAAAAAA
Molecule: long non-coding RNA, 1475 nt
Organism: Cololabis saira (Pacific saury)
Lineage: Eukaryota; Metazoa; Chordata; Actinopteri; Beloniformes; Belonidae
Exons: 4
Source: RefSeq, a predicted model, not a curated record